ACUCAUCUUAGCUAGAACUUCCCACAACCGUUGGAUCUCAGCCAAAACAUCAUCGGACGGUAGCUGAAAUCUACAAGAUGGACAAGUAUUGGUCUUCUUCAACCAUGUUAAUAUACAUUUCCAAUGGAAAAUAUGAUCACAUGGUAAUUUGCAAACAUCUCUGCCUAUUUUCAUGUCUUCUUUGCAUAUCACACACUGAUCAUUUUCAUCGGCAGUAACUUCCACUGAUGGGAGCGCCACCACCACCGCCACGGAUGCCGCCAACUUCUUCCCAUCUUUUCGUACAUCAUCGGUGACUGAGC
RNAcentral lists this long non-coding RNA (302 nucleotides) under Capsicum annuum. Its description in RNAcentral is "long non-coding RNA (CANN_LNC016359)". Lineage: Eukaryota; Viridiplantae; Streptophyta; Magnoliopsida; Solanales; Solanaceae. The record is from RNAcentral.